CCUACGGGGAGCUGCAGUGGGGAAUAUUGGACAAUGGGCGAAAGCCUGAUCCAGCCAUGCCGCGUGUGUGAAGAAGGCCUUCGGGUUGUAAAGCACUUUCAGUGGGGAAGAAAGCCUUGGGGCUAAUACCCUCGAGGAAGGACAUCACCCACAGAAGAAGCACCGGCUAACUCCGUGCCAGCAGCCGCGGUAAUACGGAGGGUGCGAGCGUUAAUCGGAAUUACUGGGCGUAAAGCGCGCGUAGGCGGUCUGAUAAGCCGGUUGUGAAAGCCCCGGGCUCAACCUGGGAACGGCAUCCGGAACUGUCAGGCUAGAGUGCAGGAGAGGAAGGUAGAAUUCCCGGUGUAGCGGUGAAAUGCGUAGAGAUCGGGAGGAAUACCAGUGGCGAAGGCGGCCUUCUGGACUGACACUGACGCUGAGGUGCGAAAGCGUGGGUAGCAAACAGGAUUAGAUACCCUAGUAGU
RNAcentral lists this ribosomal RNA (464 nucleotides) under Vreelandella stevensii. RNAcentral describes it as "partial 16S ribosomal RNA". It matches the Rfam family "Bacterial small subunit ribosomal RNA", at positions 338 to 794 of the family's 1533-position model. Lineage: Bacteria; Pseudomonadati; Pseudomonadota; Gammaproteobacteria; Oceanospirillales; Halomonadaceae. The record is from RNAcentral.